This 871-nucleotide ribosomal RNA is filed under the name Apiosphaeria guaranitica. RNAcentral describes it as "partial 28S large subunit ribosomal RNA". It matches the Rfam family "Eukaryotic large subunit ribosomal RNA", at positions 48 to 947 of the family's 3401-position model. Lineage: Eukaryota; Fungi; Ascomycota; Sordariomycetes; Phyllachorales; Phyllachoraceae. The record is from RNAcentral.
AAGCGGAGGAAAAGAAACCAACAGGGAUUGCCCCAGUAACGGCGAGUGAAGCGGCAACAGCUCAAAUUUAAAAUCUGGCCCCUGGGCCCGAGUUGUAAUUUGCAGAGGAUGCCUCGGGUGAGUGCGCUGUCGAGUCCCCUGGAACGGGGCGCCCAAGAGGGUGAGAGCCCCCUACGGCAUGCGCACGGGCCCUGGUGAGGCUCCUUCGACGAGUCGAGUAGUUUGGGAAUGCUGCUCCAAAUGGGAGGUAAACCCCUUCUAAAGCUAAAUACAAGCCGGAGACCGAUAGCGGACAAGUAGAGUGAUCGAAAGAUGAAAAGCACCUUGGAAAGGGGGUUAAACAGCACGUGAAAUUGUUGAAGGGGAAGCGUUUGUGACCAGAGCGGCGCCGUAGGGUCAGUGAGAGGGUAGAACUUACAUAUUCCACACGGCGCCGGCCAGCACCGGCUCCAGCGGGGGGACAAGGCCGCCGGCAAUGUGGCACCCCUCCGGGGGUGUGUUAUAGGCCGGCGGGCGAUACCCCCGCGGGGGCCGAGGAACGCGCACCGCGAGGAUGCUGGCAUAAUGGUCACCAGCGACCCGUCUUGAAACACGGACCAAGGAGUCGUCCAUUGGAGCGAGCGUUUGGGUGCAAAGCCCGCACGCGUAAUGAAAGUGAACGCAGGUGAGAGCCUCGGCGCAUCAUCGACCGGUCCCGAUGUUCUCGGAAGGAUCUGAGUAGGAGUUCUAACGGACGGACCCGAAAGACAGUGAACUAUGCUUGUAUAGGGUGAAGCCAGAGGAAACUCUGGUGGAGGCUCGCAGCGGUUCUGACGUGCAAAUCGAUCGUCAAAUAUGAGCAUGGGGGCGAAAGACUAAUCGAACUGUCUAG